This 77-nucleotide transfer RNA is filed under the name Holdemanella biformis. RNAcentral describes it as "tRNA-Arg". It matches the Rfam family "tRNA". Rfam says of the family: Transfer RNA (tRNA) molecules are approximately 80 nucleotides in length. Their secondary structure includes four short double-helical elements and three loops (D, anti-codon, and T loops). Lineage: Bacteria; Bacillati; Bacillota; Erysipelotrichia; Erysipelotrichales; Erysipelotrichaceae. The record is from RNAcentral.
AUACCUGUAUCUCAUUUGGAUAGAGAGUUUGCCUCCUAAGCGAAAAGUCGUAGGUUCGACUCCUAUCUGGGACGCCA